This 372-nucleotide ribosomal RNA is filed under the name uncultured organism. RNAcentral describes it as "partial 16S ribosomal RNA". It matches the Rfam family "Bacterial small subunit ribosomal RNA", at positions 527 to 896 of the family's 1533-position model. The record is from RNAcentral.
GUAGGUGGCAAGCGUUGUCCGGAAUUAUUGGGCGUAAAGCGCGCGCAGGCGGUCCUUUAAGUCUGAUGUGAAAGCCCACGGCUCAACCGUGGAGGGUCAUUGGAAACUGGGGGACUUGAGUACAGAAGAGGAAAGCGGAAUUCCAAGUGUAGCGGUGAAGUGCGUAGAGAUUUGGAGGAACACCAGUGGCGAAGGCGGCUUUCUGGUCUGUAACUGACGCUGAGGCGCGAAAGCGUGGGGAGCAAACAGGAUUAGAUACCCUGGUAGUCCACGCCGUAAACGAUGAGUGCUAAGUGUUAGGGGUUUCCCGCCCCCUUAGUGCUGCAGCUAACGCAUUAAGCACUCCGCCUGGGGAGUACGGCCGCAAGGCUG